Molecule: transfer RNA, 85 nt
Filed under: Dehalococcoidia bacterium
Lineage: Bacteria; Bacillati; Chloroflexota; Dehalococcoidia
Also listed under: 5 other names
Description: tRNA-Leu
Rfam family: tRNA
About the family: Transfer RNA (tRNA) molecules are approximately 80 nucleotides in length. Their secondary structure includes four short double-helical elements and three loops (D, anti-codon, and T loops).
Source: RNAcentral
GCGAGGGUGGCGGAACUGGCAGACGCACUGGAUUUAGGAUCCAGCGCCUUCGGGUGUGGGGGUUCGAAUCCCCCCUCUCGCACCA